RNAcentral lists this ribosomal RNA (389 nucleotides) under uncultured bacterium. RNAcentral's name for it is "bacterial SSU rRNA". It matches the Rfam family "Bacterial small subunit ribosomal RNA", at positions 28 to 417 of the family's 1533-position model. The record is from RNAcentral.
GACGAACGCUGGCGGCGUGCUUAACACAUGCAAGUCGAGCGGUAAGGCCCUUUCGGGGGUACGACGAGCGGCGAACGGGUGAGUAACACGUGGGUGACCUGCCCUCAGCUCUGGGAUAAGCCUGGGAAACCGGGUCUAAUACUAGAUAUGACUCCAUGACGCAUGUUGUGGGGUGGAAAGCCUUGUGCGGCUGAGGAUGGGCCCGCGGCCUACCAGCUUGUUGGUGGGGUGAUGGCCUACCAAGGCGACGACGGGUAGCCGGCCUGAGAGGGCGACCGGCCACACUGGGACUGAGACACGGCCCAGACUCCUACGGGCGGCAGCAGUGGGGAAUCUUGCGCAAUGGGCGAAAGCCUGACGCAGCGACGCCGCGUGAGGGAUGACGGCCU